Long non-coding RNA from Carcharodon carcharias (great white shark), 1737 nucleotides. RefSeq lists it as uncharacterized. The record is from RefSeq and is a predicted model, not a curated record. NCBI's taxonomy places the organism in Eukaryota, Metazoa, Chordata, Chondrichthyes, Lamniformes, Lamnidae. The transcript has 3 exons.
AAGCAGGUUAAGGGUUGCUACGUCGGGAGAGAUAAGCCAAGUAAAAGUCAUGGUUGUUAGAAAAGGUUGGAGGGGAUGGGCCGACAGAAGAAAACAAAUCUCUGUCAUACCCGAAAUAGUUUCAAAAUAUACUGUAUACGAUUAAGAUAUAUUUGGUCAGCAUUGACAGUCCAACUUGCUAUUUAGAAGUGACAUUGUGCAAAUGAUUGAUUUUGCCAUUUCAAAUGAAAAUCUAAUGAUUUAAGCAUUGUUCUGUAUUUAUUCAUUCUUUGCAAAAGAAAAUGUUUACCAGUUCUCUUUAUGUGAUUGUCUCAUGAUUACAAGGAAUCAACUCGAACAACUUGGCUAGGGGGCACAGCAAGUUCUGGGGCAGAAGUCUUCAGUACUAUUGCCAGAAUAUGUCAGGGCCCUUGACUUUGCAGGGACUUCAGCUGUUUCUUGAUAUCGCGUGUAGUGAAUCGAAUUGGCUGAAGACUUGCGCCUGUUAUGUCUGCUUCCUUGAAGAAAUUCCUGGAAACAGUCAUUCCAUCAGCCUUUAUAGUGAAAAUAGAAAAUAGAAUAGAGGAAUAAACAAUUGGCAGAUUUUAAAAUGGUUCAGAUACUGGACGUAGGUGUCAAUACGAUGGAAAUAUUAAAGGUUUGGGAGAAUGAAAAUGAAAGCAUCUUUGAGGAAUCUGGUUAUUACAACAGAAAACAGAAUUGGAACAGCAAUAUUAGGUGAAUGAAUCCCAAGAAUGUCGAAGGAACAGAUAACUGGUGUUUCAGGCCUGGUGCAUUCUGGGUAAUGCAAUCCACGUCCGUCCUUGGCUGUGCUCUCAUCCUCCCCCGAAGGCACUGAAGGACUCCAUGUGCUAUUUUCAGAGCAUGUGCUCCUCCAUGGAUGAUUUAAAUGUCUUCACCCAAGAUGGUGGAGUGCAGAUGCGGUUCCAUCCAUGACCUAUUUUAAGAGAAUAAAAAGCCAUUGCUGAUUGUCACUCAGUUGAAGAGAACUGGUUAAGGAUCCUUCCCCCAAACCUUUCACAUACCUGGUACUUCACUGGAUUAGAGAAUAUAAUCUUCACAAUGUCUUUCUCCCUAGUCCUCUCCUGCUGGUUAAACUGAAGUAAAUUGAAAUGUUUUUUGGCAAUAAGACUAUGUGGUUGCUGACUAUGAGUCAGAUGUUAUGCUUGUGAUUGGCUGUUGGCUGACGCUGAUUGAAUUUCCCUUAGUAUGGUACAAGUGGAUUCUGUCUUGAAAUUGUUUGCAAACUGGAACCUGGCCAAGCUGCAAAUCUGUUGUCAUAACAACUGAGCACCGAAGACAAUGACUGUUGAUAGCUCUUAGUUUUUCAGGAACUUUGGGAAUUAUGAAGAGAAUUUCAAUGUAGAAAUGUCUGCACAAGUUCCUCAUUAAUUAGCUUAAUUACCUCUCACAGUGGGAAAGUAAACUCGCAUUGGAAAAUGAGAGACAACCCUCUGAUUUUUUUAAAGUUUUAAACAUUUAGCUGAAGAAAAGAUUUUUCUCUAAAUUUGCUCCCAUCUUCAUGAUAGAAAAUGGCAGCCAAAUGAGUAGGUUAAUAAAAAUAGGCAAAAAAUAUGGGAUAUUUCAGUCAAAGCAGAUAUAAAGUUAAAUUAAAGUGUAAAGAAGACUAGAGGGAAAAUAGGAAUGACAAGCAGAAAUAAACUGCAUAUUUGUUUGCCUUGUUUAAAAUGUUAUUUUUAGUAGUUUAAAGUUAAUAAUACUGUAAAAUAAAUUGAG